This 1297-nucleotide ribosomal RNA is filed under the name Limosilactobacillus fermentum. RNAcentral's name for it is "bacterial SSU rRNA". It matches the Rfam family "Bacterial small subunit ribosomal RNA", at positions 100 to 1383 of the family's 1533-position model. The record is from RNAcentral. Lineage: Bacteria; Bacillati; Bacillota; Bacilli; Lactobacillales; Lactobacillaceae.
GGACGGGUGAGUAACACGUAGGUAACCUGCCCAGAAGCGGGGGACAACAUUUGGAAACAGAUGCUAAUACCGCAUAACAACGUUGUUCGCAUGAACAACGCUUAAAAGAUGGCUUCUCGCUAUCACUUCUGGAUGGACCUGCGGUGCAUUAGCUUGUUGGUGGGGUAACGGCCUACCAAGGCGAUGAUGCAUAGCCGAGUUGAGAGACUGAUCGGCCACAAUGGGACUGAGACACGGCCCAUACUCCUACGGGAGGCAGCAGUAGGGAAUCUUCCACAAUGGGCGCAAGCCUGAUGGAGCAACACCGCGUGAGUGAAGAAGGGUUUCGGCUCGUAAAGCUCUGUUGUUAAAGAAGAACACGUAUGAGAGUAACUGUUCAUACGUUGACGGUAUUUAACCAGAAAGUCACGGCUAACUACGUGCCAGCAGCCGCGGUAAUACGUAGGUGGCAAGCGUUAUCCGGAUUUAUUGGGCGUAAAGAGAGUGCAGGCGGUUUUCUAAGUCUGAUGUGAAAGCCUUCGGCUUAACCGGAGAAGUGCAUCGGAAACUGGAUAACUUGAGUGCAGAAGAGGGUAGUGGAACUCCAUGUGUAGCGGUGGAAUGCGUAGAUAUAUGGAAGAACACCAGUGGCGAAGGCGGCUACCUGGUCUGCAACUGACGCUGAGACUCGAAAGCAUGGGUAGCGAACAGGAUUAGAUACCCUGGUAGUCCAUGCCGUAAACGAUGAGUGCUAGGUGUUGGAGGGUUUCCGCCCUUCAGUGCCGGAGCUAACGCAUUAAGCACUCCGCCUGGGGAGUACGACCGCAAGGUUGAAACUCAAAGGAAUUGACGGGGGCCCGCACAAGCGGUGGAGCAUGUGGUUUAAUUCGAAGCUACGCGAAGAACCUUACCAGGUCUUGACAUCUUGCGCCAACCCUAGAGAUAGGGCGUUUCCUUCGGGAACGCAAUGACAGGUGGUGCAUGGUCGUCGUCAGCUCGUGUCGUGAGAUGUUGGGUUAAGUCCCGCAACGAGCGCAACCCUUGUUACUAGUUGCCAGCAUUAAGUUGGGCACUCUAGUGAGACUGCCGGUGACAAACCGGAGGAAGGUGGGGACGACGUCAGAUCAUCAUGCCCCUUAUGACCUGGGCUACACACGUGCUACAAUGGACGGUACAACGAGUCGCGAACUCGCGAGGGCAAGCAAAUCUCUUAAAACCGUUCUCAGUUCGGACUGCAGGCUGCAACUCGCCUGCACGAAGUCGGAAUCGCUAGUAAUCGCGGAUCAGCAUGCCGCGGUGAAUACGUUCCCGGGCCUUG